UACAGAGACUGCAAGCGUUAUUCGGAUUCACUGGGCGUAAAGGGUGCGCAGGCGGCCGUGUGUGUGAGGCGUGAAAGCCCGGAGCUUAACUCCGGAAUUGCACCUCAAACUACAUGGCUAGAGCAUUGGAGAGGGUAGCAGAAUUCAUGGUGUAGCAGUGAAAUGCGUAGAUAUCAAGUGGAACACCAGUGGCGAAGGCGAGUCUCUGGACAUUUCCUGACGCUGAGGCACGAAAGCCAGGGGAGCAAACGGG
Molecule: ribosomal RNA, 253 nt
Filed under: uncultured bacterium
Lineage: Bacteria
Description: partial 16S ribosomal RNA
Rfam family: Bacterial small subunit ribosomal RNA
Source: RNAcentral